GAUGAAGAACGCAGUGAAAUGCGAUAAGUAAUGUGAAUUGCAGAAUUCAGUGAAUCAUCGAAUCUUUGAACGCACAUUGCGCCCGCCAGUAUUCUGGCGGGCAUGCCUGUUCGAGCGUCAUUUCAACCAUCAAGCCCCCGGCUUGUAUUGGGGACCUGCGGCUGCCGCAGGCCCUGAAAACCAGUGGCGGGCUCGCUAGUCACUCCGAGCGUAGUAAUACAUCUCGCUCAGGGCGUGCUGCGGGUUCCGGCCGUUAAAAGCCUUAUUUACCCAAGGUUGACCUCGGAUCAGGUAGGAAGACCCGCUGAACUUAAGCAUAUCAAUAAGCGGAGGA
RNAcentral lists this unclassified non-coding RNA (334 nucleotides) under soil metagenome. RNAcentral's name for it is "partial contains 5.8S ribosomal RNA, internal transcribed spacer 2, and large subunit ribosomal RNA". The stretch from base 1 to 120 matches the Rfam family "5.8S ribosomal RNA", at positions 35 to 154 of the family's 154-position model. The record is from RNAcentral.